Molecule: long non-coding RNA, 2719 nt
Filed under: Mus musculus (house mouse)
Lineage: Eukaryota; Metazoa; Chordata; Mammalia; Rodentia; Muridae
Description: long non-coding RNA chr1:4884321-4887040
Source: RNAcentral
CUCUGCCUCCCGAGUGCUGGGACUAAAGGGUUGCGCCACCACCGCCCGGCUAAAAUUGUUUUUAAAGAUUUUUAAUGUGGUUUAAAGAUUUAGAACUCCUGCUGGUAGGUAGUGCAUUUUUUAAAACUUUGUAUAUGUCAAAGCAUUGACGUUUAAGCCUCAUUGUAACCCACUGCUUUAGGUGCUAUUUAUAAACUCCUAUUGUAUGGUGAGAAAACACAGGCCAGUUCAGACAUCUUAGAAACAUUGGGUCAGUGGUAAAUAGCUGGGCUUGAAUAUGACUAUAGGUGGUCUAAGUACUUUCUUCCCUGCCAGUUGUGCUGAAUUGGCACAACACUUUGUUGAAUAUUAGGACUGCCCUUACCCAUCAAUCUAAGACCUUGACCAUACUAGAUAUCUUACUUAGGGUUUUACUGCUGUGAACAGACACCAUGACCAAUGUAAGUCUUAUAAAGGCCAACAUUUAAUUGGGCUGACUUACAGGUUCAGAGGUUUAGUCCACUAUCAUAGAGGUGAGAGUAGGGCAGCAUCUAGGUAGGCAUGAUGCAGUCAGAGCUGAGAGUUCUACCUCUUCAUUUGAAGGCUGCUAGUAGAAGAAUGACUUCCAGGCAGCUAAAAUGAGGGUCUUAAGCCCACACCCACAGUGACACACCUACUCCGACAAGGUUACACCUAAUAGUGCCACUUUUUAGAUUGAGCAUAUUCAAACUGGCACACUAGGCAAGCAUUCUGCCAUUAAACCCUAUUACAUGUCUGUGGGAAUGUUUGUAAAGCUGUUCAUGCCUCUUAACUGUUCUGUCUUUGAGGAUUGAACCCCCAUACGCUGCCAGAGUGGUGAGGGCAGUGUAUUGUGUUGCCUAUUUCUCUUAAAUACUUUCUACUCUACAACUCUGGGGCUGUCUCUUAUUCCCCAUAAGCCAUUCCUUAUCUAUCUAUCUAUCUAUCUAUCUAUCUAUCUAUCUAUCUAUUUAUUUUGAGGCAAGGUUUCAUUUAUUUAUUUAUUUAGUUAGUUAGUUAGUUAGUUAGUUUGAGGCAAGGUUUCACUGUAGUCCUAACUGGCCUUGAACUCCCUAUGACGACUGGACUGUUCUCAAACUCAGAUUUGUUUGCCUCUACCUCCCAAGUGCUGGGUAUGCACUCUACCGCACCCCUAUGCCGUUAUUAGUACAGGUAUUCUGCUUCACAGUCUAAGGCAUCUUAGGGUUUGGGGCUUUCUCGUUUGCUUGCUUUGUGAUUAGGAGACAAGGACUCGCUAUGUAUCCCAAAUUCUCAAUCCUCCUGCCUCUGCCUCCUGGGUUUUGGGAUCGUAAGAGUGUGGUUUUUUUUUCAGGCUUUUAAGGGAAAUAGACAAUAACAAAAUGUGAUACAAUUUAGUAUUGUGUGAAAACUAAAGUGUGUGUUCAUGCUAUAGCACAGAGAAUUUUGUAUUUUAGGUAAUUGUAUUUUGGGUUGAUAAAAUUAUAGGCCUUUCUCUAGACAUGCUGCUAUUGGUCCCAAGCAGUGUAAGAAUUGUCUGGAAUUUUAGCAGUUAUCAUGCUUAUAUUUCAUUGGCAGAGAUUUAAGUUGAAUGGAUUUAGACAGAAGCAUGGGAUAAGAUUAUGUUUAAAAAUUGCCUUCGUGGUCUUUAUAAUAACUUCAGUAUUUUAUGCAGAGAGUAGAUGAACAUUAAAAGGGCGGGAUAUGGCCAGACAGCAAAAUAUAGAUAAGUGAAAUAAUUUCUACAUUAGACCUAAAUAUUUUCUAAACCUAACUCUGCAACAGUUUUGAGUGGCUUAAGAUGAAUGGUUUCUGUUGCAAAAAUAAUUGCUUUGACUUUUACAUGUAUUCACAAUGUUAAAUCGAUUUUCUCUAAGUUAUUGGUUCUCAGCCUUCCUAAUGCUUGGACCCUUUAAUACAGGUCCUCAUGUUGUGGUGAACUGACCUCCCCCAACCAUAGAAUUAUUUCAUUGCUACUUCAUAACUGUAAUUAUGCCACUGCUAUAUGAAUUAUAAUAUGAUUAUCUGAUAUGCAGGAUAUGUGACCCACAAGUUGAGAACCACUGCUCUAAGUCUUAAAAAGAGUUUGGAAUCUGCUGCUCUGUUGACAGAUCAUUCAUUUUCAGAAUGGGUGUGCUCACAUUCAUCCACAUUCUUUCCUGUGUAUAUUUUUCUUUUAAACUUUCAGGUGCCAUUGGCAUGUGAAUUUCUGUUUCUUUCCAAGUUACAAUUUAGGAAUGUUGAUUAUGAGCCUAUUAUGAAUAAUAUCCCAGUAUAUAUGCUAAUAUAAUACUUUGCUUAUAUUUAUAUAAUUGUGGGAAAUUGAAGGUUUUAAUGAUCUUUGGGGCUUGAUCAUUUAGUGUGUAUUGUCUAUUAAUGUACAGUACUUUGAUUGUUUUCAUUUUUAACAAAAGUAGACUGUUUAGGAAUUUGAUAAAUUUUUCAGAUGGACCAUCAACUGAUAAAGACCCUGAAGAAAAGAAAAAAGAGCCUGCAAUUUCAUCACAGAAUAGCCCUGAAGCAAGAGAAGAAAGGUAGCUCACUUUGUAUGUAAAUUGAUCUCUGCUAAGGUUGCUGUCUUAGGAUUUCUAUUGCUGUGAUAAAGAAUAUGAUCAAACUUGGCAGUGGUGGGUAAUACAUGCCUUUCAUCUCAGUAAUUAGGAGGCGGAGUCGAAUGGGUCUCUAAGUUGGCCAGGACAACAGAGAAACCCUGUCUCAAAAAAAAAAGAACAACAACAACAUC